GUAUGGAAUAGUAUGGUAAGGUAUGGUAUGGUAUUGGAAUGGCAUAGUAUGGUAUGGUAUGGUAUGGUACAGUACAGUAUAGUAUGGUAUGGAAUACCCAUCACUAUCAUAGCAUACAUACCUUUAACUGAAUCCGACUUAGAAGCAAUACCACCAAAGAAAUCCAAAGUGAAAUCAGCAUUUGAACUUUGUAUCACAUCCAAUGUACACUCAAACUCUUCGCUGCUCUCGACAGCCGAUGGACAUCGGAGAGAUGACACUACCGGCACUUUGACCUCGAUUUCAGUCUCCGCGCUGACAGACACA
This is a non-coding RNA of Paramuricea clavata, 306 nucleotides long. The record is from the annotation of a GenBank genome assembly. Lineage: Eukaryota; Metazoa; Cnidaria; Anthozoa; Malacalcyonacea; Plexauridae.